RNAcentral lists this ribosomal RNA (248 nucleotides) under uncultured Lachnospiraceae bacterium. Its description in RNAcentral is "partial 16S ribosomal RNA". It matches the Rfam family "Bacterial small subunit ribosomal RNA", at positions 524 to 771 of the family's 1533-position model. Lineage: Bacteria; Bacillati; Bacillota; Clostridia; Lachnospirales; Lachnospiraceae. The record is from RNAcentral.
UACGUAGGGGGCAAGCGUUAUCCGGAUUUACUGGGUGUAAAGGGAGCGUAGACGGCGGAACAAGUCAGAAGUGAAAACCCGGGGCUCAACCCUGGGAGUGCUUUUGAAACUGUUUGGCUGGAGUGCAGGAGAGGUAAGCGGAAUUCCUAGUGUAGCGGUGAAAUGCGUAGAUAUUAGGAGGAACACCAGUGGCGAAGGCGGCUUACUGGACUGUAACUGACGUUGAGGCUCGAAAGCGUGGGGAGCAA